Long non-coding RNA from Crotalus tigris (Tiger rattlesnake), 703 nucleotides. RefSeq lists it as uncharacterized. NCBI's taxonomy places the organism in Eukaryota, Metazoa, Chordata, Lepidosauria, Squamata, Viperidae. The transcript is spliced from 2 exons. The record is from RefSeq and is a predicted model, not a curated record.
CACACCGCCUUUCCAGCAAGGGAGGGGGAGAGGCUUCCCCGGAAACCGAGGUCUGCCCUUCUGCAGCAUCUGAAGGAGGGGUGGGCUCGCCCCGUCCGCAAGAAGCGGGGGUCUCGCUUAGGGAGCCACUGAAUGGCCGAGGAGGAACAGCCCCCCCCCCGGCCCCUUCUCUGCAGAUGGAUGAAAAUGCACCUUGAAGACCCCCACCCCACCCCAGUCCUUUCCGGCUCUUCCCCCCCCCCUCCGCUGAAGACGCGAAGAAGUUCAACCAAGAAACGGGCGAUCUCGAAGGCCUUGCAAAGUUGAGUCUAAGAAAGGGCGCAAAGCAGGCAGCGCGGAGAACCGACGCCUCCAGUUUAGGAAAGGGGCCGGCACGCACCGAAGGGAAAGGAAAAGAUGCUGGAAAAGACGCGUCGUCGGAAAAGAGCAGAGCUGCUGCGGUCUCAAGAAGACGAGUGGAUUGAACGGAAGGCGCUAAACUCCUAAUCAGAAAAUCGAGCGACGUCCCACGCUAUGAACGAACAACAGCGAUUGUCGUUCUUUGGUUGCGAGCGUGAGAUUGUAGCCCCGAGCAAUUCUUCUCCAGCAACUUCCUUCCUUUUUUUUUUUUUUUUUUCCUUUGGGAAGCAAUUGGUUUGACGCACGCCAAAAGAAAUUGUAAUUCUCUUCUAAGAAGGCCAAAAUAAAUAUUGGGUUGCUUGUU